This 84-nucleotide transfer RNA is filed under the name Sulfolobus sp. RNAcentral's name for it is "tRNA-Leu". It matches the Rfam family "tRNA". From Rfam's summary of the family: Transfer RNA (tRNA) molecules are approximately 80 nucleotides in length. Their secondary structure includes four short double-helical elements and three loops (D, anti-codon, and T loops). Further hydrogen bonds mediate the characteristic L-shaped molecular structure. tRNAs have two regions of fundamental functional importance: the anti-codon, which is responsible for specific mRNA codon recognition, and the 3' end, to which the tRNAs corresponding amino acid is attached (by aminoacyl-tRNA synthetases). tRNAs cope with the degeneracy of the genetic code in two manners: having more than one tRNA (with a specific anti-codon) for a particular amino acid; and 'wobble' base-pairing, i.e. permitting non-standard base-pairing at the 3rd anti-codon position. The record is from RNAcentral. RNAcentral also lists the same sequence under 2 other names. Lineage: Archaea; Thermoproteati; Thermoproteota; Thermoprotei; Sulfolobales; Sulfolobaceae.
GCGGGGGUGCCCGAGCUGGUCAAAGGGGGCGGACUCAAGAUCCGCUGGCGAAGGCCUGCGUGGGUUCAAAGCCCACCCCCCGCA